UAGAUAGAUGCUCGCUGGUUUGGGCGCUUAGCUGUUAACUAAGAACUUGUAGGAUCGAGGCCUGCCUAUCUAG
This 73-nucleotide transfer RNA is filed under the name Paratilapia polleni (Pollen's cichlid). RNAcentral describes it as "tRNA-Asn". Lineage: Eukaryota; Metazoa; Chordata; Actinopteri; Cichliformes; Cichlidae. The record is from RNAcentral.